Molecule: long non-coding RNA, 1076 nt
Organism: Melozone crissalis (California towhee)
Lineage: Eukaryota; Metazoa; Chordata; Aves; Passeriformes; Passerellidae
Exons: 3
Source: RefSeq, a predicted model, not a curated record
UCUCGGUGUAAUCCCAGAAUUGAUGUUUUUUUCCCUCUGCACCCGGGGUGCUGCUGAUGUAUUUGUCUCUCCCUCCCAGCUCGGAAAUUAAAGCUUUCACCACUUUUCUUGCUGCAGAGGAACAAAUGUGCGUCUGAGAGGGAGAUUUACACUUUGCUUUCCUUUCUGGAAAUGGAGCGUGAUUUUCCAGUGACUGCAGAUGCUGGGCCUGUCCUGACGCCUUGAGAGGAGCUGCUGGGUGGGGAGAAGGAGCCCCCAGCCACCCACCCUCCCUGCCAGCUGCAGCAAACCAGGUUUUUGGACCCUCCCCAGAGCUGUGCCAAGGACAGCAAAGGUUUGGUGGAAGAAGCCCAGGCAGGCUCUGUGGGUCCCUGGGGUGGCUGCUGGAGCAAGGAGCCAGAGGCAUCAAAGCACAGGCUGACCUUCCCCUGCCUCCUGGACACUCCUCUCUUCAUCUUCUUACUGCUGAGGCUCCUGACAGCUUUGCACUGGCUGAUUUUCAUGCUCCCAAGUGCUCCCAGAGCUGGAUGAGAUUAAGUACUUUGCUACUGAGGAAGGUUGAAGAAACUCCAGAUUAUGCAGUGCAAUGGACUGAACUUAAUUAUUCCACAACGAAUUGAGCCAAACCAACAGACUCAAGGGCAGUUGCCUCUGCCAAAAGAAGAUUCCAGCAUAGGCUGCAGCUGAACAGCAGGCACACUUGGGUUUUAAUGCAGUUUCUCCCUUAGCAAAUGCUCUUCCUUUCCAAGCGUCUCCACUGACAGCUGUGCCUUUAUGAGACGCCUUCAAAACCAGGGGAUUUCAGGGCUCCUCUCUCCUGAUUGACAACAACUCGAUUUCCUUCAGGAAAAUCAAACAGGAAUGCUUGGGGCUCAUUUGAGUGGGGAGGAAUGAAGAAGAGCUGCGAGUGCUGCUGCUGCACUGGGCGCUCCUGCUCGGCAGUGUGGGCUUUCUCAGGAUGUGUCACCUUGUCAGAGCAGCGUGUUCCUCCAAACACAUCAGCUGGAGGAGUCGAGAGGAAUGAGUCAGGUGGCUCUGCCAGCCAUGCUGUGUGACUUGCUGAGCCUGCCGUGGAG